Tribolium castaneum (red flour beetle) is the source of this 2130-nucleotide long non-coding RNA. RefSeq lists it as uncharacterized. The transcript has 2 exons. NCBI's taxonomy places the organism in Eukaryota, Metazoa, Arthropoda, Insecta, Coleoptera, Tenebrionidae. The record is from RefSeq and is a predicted model, not a curated record.
AUUCCCUUCAUUUGAAAUAAUCAUUGUUUACCUCAUCCUUAUAUCCAUUUUUCCUGGCAAGAAUGCUCUAAACCUCCACGUGGUUCUUGCCGGACAAAUUAGUUAUUGACUAAUUUGACCAAUUAGAGCAAUCCUUAAAUAUAACAUUGUUGACUGUUUUUUACAGCCGUAAAAUUAUGUCGCUUGUUGUAAUUUUCAUGCAAAUAAAGAUUUUUUAUUGGUGUUGUUUUUAAUUUUUUUUAAUGCUACAAACGGUAGCCAACGUGGAAGCGAUAUGAAGGUAGGUGUAUUUUAUUGCUGUGUCGUAUUUAUUUAUUUCACAAACCAAUAAUUUCAUAAAACUUAAUUGCAAGUAAAAUCUUUAAAUGCGGUAUUGAAAAGUGAUAUUUUGAGUGACACAUUUUAAAUACAGUAACUAUAAAUAAAAUAAAACACUCAAAUAAUUUAUUGCCACGAAAUUUUGCCUUUUAUUUCAAUGAAUGAAAGUGGCUUGCUCAAAAUUUAAUGCAAAUAAACAUUUUUUUUGGUUUCAUUUUUAUUAUUAUUUUUUUUAAUGCUACAAACGGUAGCCAACGUGGAAGCGAUAUGAAGGUAGGUGUAUUUUAUUGCUGUGUCGUAUUUAUUUAUUUCACAAACCAAUAAUUUCAUAAAACUCAAAUUUGUGAAAUUUGUGACGUUUGUGAAAUUUUUACUUGUCAGCCGCGCAUCGGCACCACGUUUUUCUUCAAUAAUCUGAAAUUUUAAAUCCGCCAAUAGGAUUUCUUUUUCCCGUAAAACACUAAGGCCAUCUAUCCGCAUCAUCAGUAAAACCUAAUUCAGUGAGGGCUCGAUUUGGCUAUAUCAGUUCGGGAUGCCUGGUCAUGUUUAAUAUUUUUGAUUAUUUUGGCAGUCGAGGGCUUGAAUGCAGCACCAAAAUUGGAUAUGGAGUAAGGCCAAUUUGUCCGAAUGUUGAUGAGACUGAAAAAUUGGGGUCAUGUAUGGGGUGGUAUCCGAAUCUUUGAAGGAAAUAACUAAGCACCAAAGUUUCGCAGCUUUUGGGGGAAUUCUCGUGAGCAGACAUUUGCGGACUAGACAAGAGAUUUAGAACGUAAAUGAUGACUUUUAUCAACAAUUUUUUAACCCAAGAAGCGCAGAAGGAUGACACUUUAGAAAAAUCACAUCCAGAAGGUAAACAGUGGGAUUUGUACCCGGAAUGACAUGAGCUUACGGCGUGAGCUUGACUCUAACCUUCAGCGUCGGUGGAGUGCUAGACAAAAGGGGCUUUAGAAUGGCACCAAGUUAUGAAAACGAAAAGGGACGUUGUAUUUACUACAAUCAAAGAAACGCAAAUUGGUAUGGCAGUUAAGAAAUUUUUUUAAAAGGAAAAAAAUUGAAAAAUUAAUGUAAGUGCGCCAUCUACACAAUAAGCAUUAAAGUAGUUGACAAAAUGUCGGCUUGAGUACAAAUUUAUAGUAAUCUGUAAUAUUGUGAGUGCCAUCUAGACGUCAAGUUUUUAUGUGCAAGUCUACAGUGUUCUGUAAUGUUUUACGUGCCAUCUACUCGCGUUAGUUUUAAUUUUAAAUUAUAGUAAUCUGUAAAUUUAGCGGCAUCUGCAUUCUGACAUAUAACAUUGUUAGCGCCAGCUGUAAACAAAAGUUCCGUAUAAUUGGUUGCCUACAAUAAGAUAAGAUGGGUGGUUAUACCUUGGUAGAUGUGAGAUUAAAAUUUGUAGGCCUGGUUUAGAUUUGAAUUGAUUUUUUGUGCAGAAAUUCAAAGCUUUGCUCAAACUGUUGAAGAAGGGGAGUGGGUCCCAAGGAGACGCUGGAGGAUAUACUCGAGAGGAACGCGAGAAAACCAACUCAGAAUCGGAAUGACUAAUACGAGUAGAGUAUGUGUAAAAUGAGCAAAAUCCAACGCAAAAUGAGUAAUAACAGUGAAGAUACGUAUUAUGUCCAGUAAUCCGUUGUUCUAAUUAGGAAGAGGAGCCUUUAAGAAGGGCAGUAUGUUAUUUCAGAGACUAAUAUAACGCAUGUUUGCUAUAGAGGUUUAGUCAAAGUGAAGAUGUAAUUUUUCCGAAAUAGUUUUUGUCUAUAGUUGCUAGAUAUUAUGUAGGUACUCGUUUAUUUUAUUUUUAAUAAAAUGUUAAAAAGU